AAUAACAAACCCUUCUGAUCAUGGAAAACCUGACACGCGUUUUUCCUGAUCACAAAAGACAAACCCUUUUCUUGCAGUUGUCCUAUGCUCAAUAGAUUGGUUUGCAAACUGGGGAUGUAAAAGACAUCCUGAAUGACCAGUGACAGCUGAUCAACCUGAAUUCUAAUAUUUCCCUUUCCUGCAACCUGGAGCUUUGUUCCAUUUCCC
RNAcentral lists this long non-coding RNA (207 nucleotides) under Linum usitatissimum (flax). RNAcentral describes it as "long non-coding RNA (LUSI_LNC000340)". Lineage: Eukaryota; Viridiplantae; Streptophyta; Magnoliopsida; Malpighiales; Linaceae. The record is from RNAcentral.